This 465-nucleotide ribosomal RNA is filed under the name Vreelandella stevensii. Its description in RNAcentral is "partial 16S ribosomal RNA". It matches the Rfam family "Bacterial small subunit ribosomal RNA", at positions 338 to 795 of the family's 1533-position model. The record is from RNAcentral. Lineage: Bacteria; Pseudomonadati; Pseudomonadota; Gammaproteobacteria; Oceanospirillales; Halomonadaceae.
CCUAGGGGUGGCUGCAGUGGGGAAUAUUGGACAAUGGGCGAAAGCCUGAUCCAGCCAUGCCGCGUGUGUGAAGAAGGCCUUCGGGUUGUAAAGCACUUUCAGUGGGGAAGAAAGCCUUGGGGCUAAUACCCUCGAGGAAGGACAUCACCCACAGAAGAAGCACCGGCUAACUCCGUGCCAGCAGCCGCGGUAAUACGGAGGGUGCGAGCGUUAAUCGGAAUUACUGGGCGUAAAGCGCGCGUAGGCGGUCUGAUAAGCCGGUUGUGAAAGCCCCGGGCUCAACCUGGGAACGGCAUCCGGAACUGUCAGGCUAGAGUGCAGGAGAGGAAGGUAGAAUUCCCGGUGUAGCGGUGAAAUGCGUAGAGAUCGGGAGGAAUACCAGUGGCGAAGGCGGCCUUCUGGACUGACACUGACGCUGAGGUGCGAAAGCGUGGGUAGCAAACAGGAUUAGAUACCCCUGUAGUC